ACGGCUCAGUAACACGUGGAUAACCNGCCCUUGGGUCCGGCAUAACCCCGGGAAACUGGGGAUAAUUCCGGAUAACGCACAUAUGCUGGAAUGCUUUAUGCGUAAAAUGGAUUCGUCUGCCCAAGGAUGGGUCUGCGGCCUAUCAGGUAGUAGUGGGUGUAAUGUACCUACUAGCCAACAACGGGUACGGGUUGUGAGAGCAAGAGCCCGGAGAUGGAUUCUGAGACAUGAAUCCAGGUCCUACGGGGCGCAGCAGGCGCGAAAACUUUACAAUGCGGGAAACCGUGAUAAGGGGACACCGAGUGCCAGCAUCAUAUGCUGGCUGUCCAGGUGUGUAAAAUACACCUGUUAGCAAGGGCCGGGCAAGACCGGUGCCAGCCGCCGCGGUAACACCGGCGGCCCGAGUGGUGAUCGUGAUUAUUGGGUCUAAAGGGUCCGUAGCCGGUUUGGUCAGUCCUCCGGGAAAUCUGAUAGCUCAACUAUUAGGCUUUCGGGGGAUACUGCCAGGCUUGGAACCGGGAGAGGUAAGAGGUACUACAGGGGUAGGAGUGAAAUCUUGUAAUCCCUGUGGGACCACCUGUGGCGAAGGCGUCUUACCAGAACGGGUUCGACGGUGAGGGACGAAAGCUGAGGGCACGAACCGGAUUAGAUACCCGGGUAGUCCCAGCCGUAAACGAUGCUCGCUAGGUGUCAGGCAUGGCGCGACCGUGUCUGGUGCCGCAGGGAAGCCGUGAAGCGAGCCACCUGGGGAAGUACGGCCGCAAGGCUGAAACUUAAAGGAAUUGGCGGGGGAGCAC
RNAcentral lists this ribosomal RNA (797 nucleotides) under uncultured archaeon. RNAcentral describes it as "bacterial SSU rRNA". It matches the Rfam family "Archaeal small subunit ribosomal RNA", at positions 85 to 879 of the family's 1478-position model. The record is from RNAcentral.